AUGGAUCAGCUCCCUCUUCUUGGGAGCGGCCCCAAAGCCGCAGCCAUUACCCCUUCCUUCGUCGCAACGGAUCAGUACGCCGCAUCCACAUCAGCUUCACCACCGGAAAAGGCGCCGCCGGCAGCACCGCUCCCGGCCCCGGAACACCAUGGAAAGUCCAGCCACAACAGGAGAUCAUCUGACACGAUCAAGGCCAAGAUCAUGUCGCAUCCUCUCUAUCCGGCUCUCCUCGGAGCCUUCAUAGACUGCCGGAAAGUCGGAGCGCCGCCGGAAGUCGUUGGUCGGCUCUCCUCCCUCGUCGACGAGCUCCGGCCAAAUUCAGCCGGCAGGCAGGAACAGCCGGCGGACCCAGAGCUCGACCAGUUCAUGGAGACCUACCGUGAUAUGCUGGUGAAGUACAGUCAGAAGCUCACGAGGCAAAUCCAAGACGCCAAUCAGUUCUUGAGGAGCGCCGAGGCCCAUAUCGACUCGUUUGCACUAGAUGAGCAAGAGACCGGCGAGGGCAUGCAGCAGAAGAGCCAGCUCCUGGACAAGUACAGCGGCUACCUGAGAAGCCUGUGGAAGGAGGUUUCCGGGAAGAAGAAGAAGAGCGGCAGGCUGCCGAGGGAGGCGCACCAGAGGCUCCUGCACUGGUGGCAGCUGCACCAGGGAUGGCCCUACCCAUCGGAACAGGAGAAGCUGGCGUUGGCUGAGUCGACGGGGCUCGACACGAGGCAGAUCAAUAACUGGUUCAUCAGCCAGAGGAAGCGGCACUGGAAGCCGACGCCGCCGGCGAUGGACAGCAGGUUGCAGCACAUCAACGCCGGUGCUUCCAGCAGCAGCUCUCCUGCGGUCCUUGGGAUGGAAGGGCAGCACUUCACCGUACGGAGUGGGUGUCCCGACGGUGGUCCGUUGAGACCCUGA
Molecule: ribosomal RNA, 903 nt
Filed under: Triticum aestivum (bread wheat)
Lineage: Eukaryota; Viridiplantae; Streptophyta; Magnoliopsida; Poales; Poaceae
Description: partial small subunit ribosomal RNA
Source: RNAcentral